Molecule: ribosomal RNA, 440 nt
Filed under: uncultured bacterium
Lineage: Bacteria
Description: partial 16S ribosomal RNA
Rfam family: Bacterial small subunit ribosomal RNA
Source: RNAcentral
CCUACGGGUGGCAGCAGUGGGGAAUAUUGCACAAUGGGGGAAACCCUGAUGCAGCGACGCCGCGUGAGUGACGAAGUAUCUCGGUACGUAAAGCUCUGUCAGCAGGGAAGCUAAAGACGGCACCUGCUCAUGAAGGCCCGGCUAACUACGUUCCAGCAGCCGCGGUAAUACGUAGGGGGCAAGCGUUAUCCGGAUUUUGUGGGUGUUAUGGGCGCGUAGACGGCAUCGCAAGUCUGGAGUGAAAUCCCGGGGCUUAACCCCGGAACUGCUUUGGAAACUGUGCGGCGGGAGUGCAGGAGAGGUAAGCGGAAUUCCUAGUGUAGCGGUGAAAUGCGUAGAUAUUAGGAGGAACACCGGUGGCGAAGGCGGCUUACUGGACUGUAACUGACGUUGAGGCUCGAAAGCGGGGGGAGCAAACAGGAUUAGAUACCCCAGUAGUC